This 1051-nucleotide long non-coding RNA is filed under the name Felis catus (domestic cat). Its description in RNAcentral is "lncRNA (ENSFCAG00000049133.1)". Lineage: Eukaryota; Metazoa; Chordata; Mammalia; Carnivora; Felidae. The record is from RNAcentral.
AUGAGAAUCAUGCAGUCCUCUGGCCCAAGAAGCAGAGUGCUACUCUGGACGAUCACCAUGGAGAGACUGCACUGGCAACAUGCCCACCGCUCCAAACGCACACAUGCUUCUGAGAACUGAUGUGGUUUCCACUGACUCUUGGAGGUGUAAGUGCCAGGGGAAUUCUGGCUGACUCAGACCAUUUCCACACUGAAGGGCUUUUAGGCAUGUAAUUUCUGGUCUGCUUAUAGCUUUGACUUAACUUCACUGCCUUCUCAUACAUUAAUUUAUCACUGUCGUUAUUGUUGUUUUGGGAUCCUCACGGCCAUCAUAGGCUGACCCCUUGAUUAAAGUUAAACCUUUCAAUAGUUUUCUGUAGGCCAGGGGAUGAACUGGGGAAGAUCACCACCACAGAACGAAGCUCAAAUGCAAAUCGUAUUACCACAUUGCGAUGAAAACCGUAUUGACAUAUCAAGCCUUUCGGCAUACUGUCAUGCAUAGGUUUGUCCAUUUGCAUGGAUAAGUCGUUCUCUAUAUUCAACUUUUUAAAAAUUUUUUUAAUGUUUACUUAUUUUUGAGAGAGAGAGAGUGCAAGUGAAGGAGGGGCAGAGAGACGGGGGGUCAGAGGAUCCAAAGCAGGCUUGUGCACUGACAGUAGAGAGCCCUAUGCAGGGCUCGAACUCAAGAACCAUGAGAUCAUGACCCGAGCUGAAAUUGGAUGCCUAACUGACUGAGCCACCCAGGUACCCCUAUAUAUUCAUCUUAUACAGAAAAAAAAGAAGGUUAGCACCAACUGAUGUUUUCACCAAUUUCCUUUUUGCUCUGUUCCAAUCUGUGCUAAGGGGGACAACAGAUGAUAAGGAACCAUACCAAAAUUUCUUGUUUGAAGGUUGCUUACACUAAGACUUUUGAAACGAUGCUGAAAGGAGCAUUGGACGAGUGAUAUGUUACAUAUCUUGGAAUGAUUUAUAUUUUAGCCUCCUUACAAUGACCUUAAUUAUUAUAAAAACGAUAAAGUUGGUCAUGUAGAAAACUUAACGUCCCAGUGGAUGACCUCAUGAAUUGGUUCAGC